AUGCAUGUGUCAGUACAGGCCGCUCUAAGGCUAAACCGCGAAUGGCUCAUUAAAUCAGUUAUGGUUCAUUUGAUCAAAACCCAAUUACUUGGAUAACCCUGGUAAUUCUAGAGCUAAUACGUGACAACGACUACCCCGACUGGAAGGGAGGGGUGCUUUUAUUAGAUGAAAACCAAUCGGGCCUCGGUCCGCAAACACAAACCGUGAUGAUUCUGAAUAACUUUGUGCCGAGAGCACGGUCUCCGCACCGGCUCCGUAUCUUUCGAGUUUCUGCCUUAUCAUGCUGUGGAUUGUAGGCCAUGCGCCUACAGUGGCUGUUACGGGUGACGGAGAAUCAGGGUUCGAUUCCGGAGAGGGAGCCUGAGAAACGGCUACCACA
This 379-nucleotide ribosomal RNA is filed under the name Plesionika sp. USNM IZ 1448696. RNAcentral's name for it is "SSU rRNA". It matches the Rfam family "Eukaryotic small subunit ribosomal RNA", at positions 51 to 414 of the family's 1831-position model. RNAcentral also lists the same sequence under 3 other names. The record is from RNAcentral. Lineage: Eukaryota; Metazoa; Arthropoda; Malacostraca; Decapoda; Pandalidae.